UGGGGAAUUUUGCACAAUGGGGGAAACCCUGAUGCAGCGACGCCGCGUGAUUUAGAAGGCCUUCGGGUUGUAAAAAUCUUUUUUACGGGAUGAAAAUGACAGUACAGUAAGAAUAAGGUCCGGCUAAAUAAGUGCCAGCAGCCGCGGUAAUACGUAUGGACCGAGCGUUGUCCGGAAUCAUUGGGCGUAAAGGGUACGUAGGCGGCCUAGUAAGUUAGAAGUGAAAUAAUAUAGCUCAACUAUAUAAAGCUUUUAAAACUGCUAGGCUUGAGAGAUGGAAGGGAAGGUGGAAUUCCUAGUGUAGCGGUUGAAUGCGCAGAUAUUAGGAAGAAUACCGGUGGCGAAGGCGACUUUCUGGUCAUCAUCUGACGCUGAGGUACGAAAGCGUGGGUAGCAAACAGG
Molecule: ribosomal RNA, 402 nt
Filed under: bacterium
Lineage: Bacteria
Description: partial 16S ribosomal RNA
Rfam family: Bacterial small subunit ribosomal RNA
Source: RNAcentral